GUGCUCGCUGUGGCAGCGCAUACACUAAAACGGGAGAUUCUGAGAAGAUGAGGAUGGUUCCUGAGCAAGGACGACACGCAAAUUCCGGAAUCGUUCCAUGUUUUU
This 105-nucleotide small nuclear RNA is filed under the name Dasypus novemcinctus (nine-banded armadillo). Lineage: Eukaryota; Metazoa; Chordata; Mammalia; Cingulata; Dasypodidae. The record is from RNAcentral.